AUUGAACGCUGGCGGCAUGCUUUACACAUGCAAGUCGAACGGUAACAGGGACUUCGGUCUGCUGACGAGUGGCGAACGGGUGAGUAACAUAUCGGAACGUGCCCAGUAAUGGGGGAUAGCUCGGCGAAAGCCGGAUUAAUACCGCAUACGCCCUGAGGGGGAAAGUGGGGGAUCUUCGGACCUCACGUUAUUGGAGCGGCCGAUAUCAGAUUAGCUAGUUGGUGGGGUAAAGGCCUACCAAGGCGACGAUCUGUAGCUGGUCUGAGAGGAUGAUCAGCCACACUGGGACUGAGACACGGCCCAGACUCCUACGGGAGGCAGCAGUGGGGAAUUUUGGACAAUGGGCGAAAGCCUGAUCCAGCCAUGCCGCGUGAGUGAAGAAGGCCUCGGUUGUAAGACGUCUUUCAGGUGGAAGAAAGACGG
Molecule: ribosomal RNA, 423 nt
Filed under: uncultured bacterium
Lineage: Bacteria
Description: bacterial SSU rRNA
Rfam family: Bacterial small subunit ribosomal RNA
Source: RNAcentral